UCCGAGUUGACCCCGGCAGUCUCCCGCAAGUCCCCAACCACCCCGAAAGGUGUUGCUGGCAAUACAGGACAAGGGUUGCGCUCGUUGCGGGACUUAACCCAACAUCUCACGACACGAGCUGACGACAACCAUGCACCACCUGUACACGACCCCAAAGGACACGCGAUCUCUCGCGCUGCACCGUGCAUGUCAAGCCCUGGUAAGGUUCUUCGCGUCGCAUCGAAUUAAGCCGCAUGCUCCGCCGCUUGUGCGGGCCCCCGUCAAUUCCUUUGAGUUUUAGCCUUGCGGCCGUACUCCCCAGGCGGGGCGCUUAAUGCGUUAGCUCCGGCACGGAAACCGUGGAAACAGUCCCCACACCUAGCGCCCAACGUUUACAGCGUGGACUAC
This 387-nucleotide unclassified non-coding RNA is filed under the name uncultured Actinomycetes bacterium. Its description in RNAcentral is "uncultured actinobacterium contains 16S-23S intergenic spacer region". Lineage: Bacteria; Bacillati; Actinomycetota; Actinomycetes. The record is from RNAcentral.